Long non-coding RNA from Manis javanica (Malayan pangolin), 671 nucleotides. RefSeq lists it as uncharacterized. The record is from RefSeq and is a predicted model, not a curated record. NCBI's taxonomy places the organism in Eukaryota, Metazoa, Chordata, Mammalia, Pholidota, Manidae.
GAUGGAACAGGAGAUAGCAACAGAGAAGAUGCGCCCUGCCUGACCUUUCUGCAGUCUCCCACCUGAUCGCCCUGGGCCAGCCCCCCUCUGCCAUUCCUACCGGACUCAAGGAGGCUUGGCAGGAAAAGAAGUUUAUUUGAGCCUUUCAGAAAAGUCUUCCUGUUAUUCUGAGAGAGACAUCUGAGUGACUCUCAGGCUCGAUCUGAACAAGGAAGCACGAAGACCAGACAGGAACCAUCCUCCAGCCACAGGGGAAAUAGCCUCUGAAUGAACCUGCUCUGAGGACUGCAAGGAGGAAAUGAACAAAGAACCUGGGAUAAUGAGGGUCUCGUUGCACUGCUAGGUCAAUCAGGCCUGAAGCUGGAAGUUGCUGUUAAAUGAGCAAAUACAUUUCUUUGUUUUGAAACAUAAUUGAGUUGGGUAUUCUGUUAGAGUUUAAAAGCAUCCUAAAUGAAGUUCAUAACAGCUCUUCUUUGAAAAACACUUUUACCAUUUUAAUCAACUUAGAUUCUUAAUUAUAGGCAACCAAAAUCUCUCUAGCUAGUUUAAGCAGAAAAGGAAUUCAUUAAGGGAUAUUAGGUAGCCUACUGAAGCUCUCACAGAGGCAAAGAGUUAUCAUGCUAAACAUCACACAAACCAUAACAGGCAUUGGCCAGACACCACAAUUUGCC